This 398-nucleotide ribosomal RNA is filed under the name uncultured bacterium. RNAcentral describes it as "bacterial SSU rRNA". It matches the Rfam family "Bacterial small subunit ribosomal RNA", at positions 28 to 430 of the family's 1533-position model. The record is from RNAcentral.
GACGAACGCUGGCGGCGUGCUUAACACAUGCAAGUCGAGCGGUAAGGCUCCUUCGGGAGUACACGAGCGGCGAACGGGUGAGUAACACGUGAGCAAUCUGCCCUUCACUUCGGGAUAACUCCGGGAAACCGGUGCUAAUACCGAAUACGACCACUUCAGGCAUCUGAUGGUGGUGGAAAGUUCCGGCGGUGAAGGAUGAGCUCGCGGCCUAUCAGCUUGUUGGUGAGGAAUGGCCCACCAAGGCAACGACGGGUAGCCGGCCUGAGAGGGUGACCGGCCACACUGGGACUGAGACACGGCCCAGACUCCUACGGGAGGCAGCAGUGGGGAAUAUUGGACAAUGGGCGAAAGCCUGAUCCAGCAACGCCGCGUGAGGGAUGACGGCCUCGGUUGUAACU